Molecule: unclassified non-coding RNA, 238 nt
Filed under: uncultured Hebeloma
Lineage: Eukaryota; Fungi; Basidiomycota; Agaricomycetes; Agaricales; Cortinariaceae
Description: sequence contains ITS1
Source: RNAcentral
UUGAAAUAAACCUGAUGGGUUGUUGCUGGUUCUCUAGGGAGCAUGUGCACACCCACCAUCCUCAUCUCUCCACCUGUGCACCUCUUGUAGACUUGGAUUGACUUUCCGAGGCAACUCGGUUGGGAGGACUUGCUGGCGCUAGCUGGCUUUCCUUGCAUUUCCAAGUCUAUGUUUUUCAUAUACCCCAUUGAAUGUAACAGAAUGUAACAUUGGGCCCUCGUGCCUAUAAAAACUUAUA